GUGACCUUACCACUUUGGAAGCACGUUCCCGUCUGAUCAUCGAGGUUAAGCUAGGUUGGGCCCGGUUAGUACUUGCAUGGGUGACCGGCUGGGAAUAUCGGGUGCUGAGGCC
Molecule: ribosomal RNA, 112 nt
Filed under: Fasciola hepatica (liver fluke)
Lineage: Eukaryota; Metazoa; Platyhelminthes; Trematoda; Plagiorchiida; Fasciolidae
Source: RNAcentral